CUAGUACGGGAGGCAGCAGUAGGGAAUCUUCCGCAAUGGGCGAAAGCCUGACGGAGCAACGCCGCGUGAGUGAAGAAGGAUUUCGGUUCGUAAAGCUCUGUUGUUAGGGAAGAAUGAUUGUAUAGUAACUAUAUACAGUAGAGACGGUACCUAACCAGAAAGCCACGGCUAACUACGUGCCAGCAGCCGCGGUAAUCUAG
RNAcentral lists this ribosomal RNA (200 nucleotides) under uncultured bacterium. Its description in RNAcentral is "partial 16S ribosomal RNA". It matches the Rfam family "Bacterial small subunit ribosomal RNA", at positions 335 to 530 of the family's 1533-position model. The record is from RNAcentral.